Molecule: ribosomal RNA, 503 nt
Filed under: uncultured bacterium
Lineage: Bacteria
Description: partial 16S ribosomal RNA
Rfam family: Bacterial small subunit ribosomal RNA
Source: RNAcentral
AUUGAACGCUGGCGGCAGGCUUAACACAUGCAAGUCGAGCGGGGUGAUGGUGCUUGCACUAUCACUUAGCGGCGGACGGGUGAGUAAUGCUUAGGAAUCUGCCUAUUAGUGGGGGACAACAUCUCGAAAGUGAUGCUAAUACCGCAUACGUCCUACGGGAGAAAGCAGGGGAUCACUUGUGACCUUGAGCUAAUAGAUGAGCCUAAGUCGGAUUAGCUAGUUGGUGGGGUAAAGGCCUACCAAGGCGACGAUCUGUAGCCGGUCUGAGAGGAUGACCAGCCACACUGGGACUGAGACACGGCCCAGACUCCUACGGGAGGUAGCAGUGGGGAAUAUUGGACAAUGGGGGGAACCCUGAUCCAGCCAUGCCGCGUGUGUGAAGAAGGCCUUAUGGUUGUAAAGCACUUUAAGCGAGGAGGAGGCUCUUUUGGUUAAUACCCAAGAUGAGUGGACGUUACUCACAGAAUAAGCACCGGCUAACUCUGUGCCAGCAGCCGCCGUAA